GAUGAACGCUGGCGGCGUGCCUAAUACAUGCAAGUCGAGCGAACAGACGAGGAGCUUGCUCCUCUGACGUUAGCGGCGGACGGGUGAGUAACACGUGGAUAACCUACCUAUAAGACUGGGAUAACUUCGGGAAACCGGAGCUAAUACCGGAUAAUAUAUUGAACCGCAUGGUUCAAUAGUGAAAGACGGUUUUGCUGUCCCUUAUAGAUGGAUCCGCGCCGCAUUAGCUAGUUGGUAAGGUAACGGCUUACCAAGGCAACGAUGCGUAGCCGACCUGAGAGGGUGAUCGGCCACACUGGAACUGAGACACGGUCCAGACUCCUACGGGAGGCAGCAGUAGGGAAUCUUGCGCAAUGGGCGAAAGCCUGACGGAGCAACGCCGCGUGAGUGAUGAAGGUCUUCGGAUCGUAAACCUCUGUUAUUAGGGAAGAACACAUGUGUAAGUAACUAUGCACGUCUUGACGGUACCUAAUCAGAAAGCCACGGCUAACUACGUG
Molecule: ribosomal RNA, 497 nt
Filed under: uncultured bacterium
Lineage: Bacteria
Description: partial 16S ribosomal RNA
Rfam family: Bacterial small subunit ribosomal RNA
Source: RNAcentral